GUCCUGAUAGUCUAGUGGCUAGGAUUCGGCGUUUUCACCGCCGCGGCCCGGGUUCGAUUCCCGGUCAGGGAACU
Hippoglossus stenolepis (Pacific halibut) is the source of this 74-nucleotide non-coding RNA. NCBI's taxonomy places the organism in Eukaryota, Metazoa, Chordata, Actinopteri, Pleuronectiformes, Pleuronectidae. The record is from the annotation of a RefSeq genome assembly.